GUCCUUUUGAAUUUAAUAUAAGGUUUGACCUGCCCACUGAAAUUUUGAAUGGCCGCAGUAAUUUGACUGUGCAAAGGUAGCAUAAUCAUUAGUUUUUUAAUUAAAAGCUUGUAUGAAGGGUUGGACGAGGUAAAAGCUGUCUCUAUUUAAUUUAAAAUAGAAUUUAAUUUUUAAGUUAAAAAGCUUAAAUAUUUUUAAAAGACGAGAAGACCCUAUAGAUCUUUAUAUUAUUUUUUUUAAUUUUAAUUAAGAAUAUUUUAUUUAUUAAUAAAAAUAAUAUUUUAUUGGGGUAAUAAAAAGAUUAAAAAAAUUCUUUUUUUAUUUUUACAUUAAUAAAUGAAUAUAUGAUCCAAUAAUAUUGAUUAAAAGAUUAAGUUACCUUAGGGAUAACAGCGUAAUUUUUUUAGAGAGUUCAUAUCGAUAAAAAAGUUUGCGACCUCGAUGUUGGAUUAAAAAUUAUCUUAGGUGCAGAAGUUUAAGAUUUUGGUCUGUUCGACCAUUGAAUUUUUACA
RNAcentral lists this ribosomal RNA (512 nucleotides) under Lancetes varius. Its description in RNAcentral is "partial 16S ribosomal RNA". It matches the Rfam family "Bacterial large subunit ribosomal RNA", at positions 1819 to 2600 of the family's 2925-position model. Lineage: Eukaryota; Metazoa; Arthropoda; Insecta; Coleoptera; Dytiscidae. The record is from RNAcentral.